CUUAAGUGUUGUUAUAAUUAAGUUUUUUUUCUAAUUUUAAUCGUUCGGCUUAUUUAAUUUCUUUUUUAAAAAAAUAAAACAUAAGUCACGUAUAAAGUAAAUUUAUGUUUUAUCAUGUAAUAACAAUAAAAAUAUCAAUCUAAGAAAUUUUAAAUAAAAUGGAUGAUCAAAGUUGAACAUGGAAACUCAAGACUACGCUUAAA
Molecule: non-coding RNA, 203 nt
Organism: Oryza glaberrima (African rice)
Lineage: Eukaryota; Viridiplantae; Streptophyta; Magnoliopsida; Poales; Poaceae
Source: Rfam